UGAGCCAGCUGGGGGAGUUCGCAAGAACUGAGACAGGCAAGCCUGAGACCCUUUGAACCUGAUCCGGGUAAAACCGGCGUAGGGAAGCGGCGCGAACUCCGA
This 102-nucleotide non-coding RNA is filed under the name Geobacteraceae bacterium. Its description in RNAcentral is "TPP sequence". It matches the Rfam family "TPP riboswitch aptamer (THI element)". Rfam says of the family: Vitamin B(1) in its active form thiamin pyrophosphate (TPP) is an essential coenzyme that is synthesised by coupling of pyrimidine and thiazole moieties in bacteria. The record is from RNAcentral. Lineage: Bacteria; Pseudomonadati; Thermodesulfobacteriota; Desulfuromonadia; Geobacterales; Geobacteraceae.